This 465-nucleotide ribosomal RNA is filed under the name uncultured bacterium. Its description in RNAcentral is "partial 16S ribosomal RNA". It matches the Rfam family "Bacterial small subunit ribosomal RNA", at positions 28 to 507 of the family's 1533-position model. The record is from RNAcentral.
GAUGAACGCUGGCGGCGUGCUUAACACAUGCAAGUCGAACGGAAAGGCCCAAGCUUGCUUGGGUCCUCGAGUGGCGAACGGGUGAGUAACACGUGGGUGAUCUGCCCUGCACUUCGGGAUAAGCCUGGGAAACUGGGUCUAAUACCGGAUAGGACCACAUUUUGGAUGGUGUGUUGGAAAGUUUUUCGGUGUGGGAUGAGCUCGCGGCCUAUCAGCUUGUUGGUGGGGUAAUGGCCUACCAAGGCGUCGACGGGUAGCCGGCCUGAGAGGGUGUACGGCCACAUUGGGACUGAGAUACGGCCCAGACUCCUACGGGAGGCAGCAGUGGGGAAUAGUGCAAAAUGGGCGCAAGCCUGAUGCAGCGACGCCGCGUGGGGGAUGACGGCCUUCGGGUUGUAAACUCCUUUCGCUAGGGAAGAAGCGCAAGUGACGGUACCUGGAGAAGAAGCACCGGCUAACUACGUG